RNAcentral lists this ribosomal RNA (497 nucleotides) under uncultured bacterium. Its description in RNAcentral is "partial 16S ribosomal RNA". It matches the Rfam family "Bacterial small subunit ribosomal RNA", at positions 28 to 507 of the family's 1533-position model. The record is from RNAcentral.
GAUGAACGCUGGCGGCGUGCCUAAUACAUGCAAGUCGAGCGAACGGACGAGAAGCUUGCUUCUCUGAUGUUAGCGGCGGACUGGUGAGUAACACGUGGAUAACCUACCUAUAAGACUGGGAUAACUUCGGGAAACCGGAGCUAAUACCGGAUAAUAUUUUGAACCGCAUGGUUCAAAAGUGAAAGACGGUCUUGCUGUCACUUAUAGAUGGAUCCGCGCUGCAUUAUCUAGUUGGUAAGGUAACGGCUUACCAAGGCAACGAUGCAUAGCCGACCUGAGAGGGUGAUCGGCCACACUGGAACUGAGACACGGUCCAGACUCCUACGGGAGGCAGCAGUAGGGAAUCUUCCGCAAUGGGCGAAAGCCUGACGGAGCAACGCCGCGUGAGUGAUGAAGGUCUUCGGAUCGUAAAACUCUGUUAUUAGGGAAGAACAUAUGUGUAAGUAACUGUGCACAUCUUGACGGUACCUAAUCAGAAAGCCACGGCUAACUACGUG